GACGAACGCUGGCGGCGUGCUUAACACAUGCAAGUGGAGCGACGAACCAGGGCUUGCCCUGGGGCAGAGCCGCGAACGGGUGAGUAACACGUGGGUAACCUGCCUCGAUGGUCAGGACAACCCGGGGAAACCCGGGCUAAUACCGAAUGUGCUCCGACCACAUCAGUGGACGGCGUAAAGGAAGCUUCGGCCUCCGCAUCGAGAUGGGCCCGCGGCCCAUUAGCUUGUUGGUGGGGUAAAGGCCCACCAAGGCUUCGAUGGGUAGCUGGUCUGAGAGGACGAUCAGCCACACUGGGACUGAGACACGGCCCAGACUCCUACGGGAGGCAGCAGUGGGGAAUCUUGCGCAAUGCGCGAAAGCGUGACGCAGCAACGCCGCGUGGGGGAAGACGGCCUUAGGGUUGUAAACCCCUUUCAGGAGGGACGAAGGUCGGCGCGUUAAUAGCGUGUCCGACUGACGGUACCUCCACAAGAAGCCCCGGCUAACUACGUGCCAGCCGCCGCCGUAA
This 509-nucleotide ribosomal RNA is filed under the name uncultured bacterium. RNAcentral describes it as "partial 16S ribosomal RNA". It matches the Rfam family "Bacterial small subunit ribosomal RNA", at positions 28 to 523 of the family's 1533-position model. The record is from RNAcentral.